UGCGUAGGCGGCUUUUUAAGUUUGGUGUGAAAUCUCCCGGCUCAACUGGGAGGGUGCGCCGAAUACUGAGAGGCUAGAGUGUGGGAGAGGAAAGUGGAAUUCCUGGUGUAGCGGUGAAAUGCGUAGAUAUCAGGAGGAACACCGGUGGUGUAAACGGCUUUCUGGACCAUAACUGACGCUGAGGCACGAAAGCGUGGGUAGCAAACAGGAUUAGAUACCCUGGUAGUCCACGCCCUAAACGAUGCAUAUUUGGUGUGGGCCAUUCAUUUGGUCUGUGCCGGAGCUAACGCGUUAAAUAUGCCGCCCUGGGGAGUACAGUCGCAAGGCUGAA
Molecule: ribosomal RNA, 331 nt
Filed under: uncultured bacterium
Lineage: Bacteria
Description: bacterial SSU rRNA
Rfam family: Bacterial small subunit ribosomal RNA
Source: RNAcentral